GUGGGGAAUAUUGGACAAUGGGCGAAAGCCUGAUCCAGCCAUGCCGCGUGUGUGAAGAAGGUCUUCGGAUUGUAAAGCACUUUAAGUUGGGAGGAAGGGCAGUAAGUUAAUACCUUGCUGUUUUGACGUUACCGACAGAAUAAGCACCGGCUAACUUCGUGCCAGCAGCCGCGGUAAUACGAAGGGUGCAAGCGUUAAUCGGAAUUACUGGGCGUAAAGCGCGCGUAGGUGGUUUUGUAAGUUGGAGGUGAAAUCCCCGGGCUCAACCUGGGAACUGCAUCCAAAACUGCAUGACUAGAGUACGGUAGAGGGUAGUGGAAUUUCCUGUGUAGCGGUGAAAUGCGUAGAUAUAGGAAGGAACACCAGUGGCGAAGGCGACUACCUGGACUGAUACUGACACUGAGGUGCGAAAGCGUGGGGAGCAAACAGGAUUAGAUACCCCUGUAGUCC
RNAcentral lists this ribosomal RNA (450 nucleotides) under uncultured bacterium. RNAcentral describes it as "bacterial SSU rRNA". It matches the Rfam family "Bacterial small subunit ribosomal RNA", at positions 354 to 796 of the family's 1533-position model. The record is from RNAcentral.